UCUUCCCUCUUUCUUCGUGCCUAAUACAUGCAAGUCGAGCGAACAGACGAGGAGCUUGCUCCUCUGACGUUAGCGGCGGACGUGUGAGUAACACGUGGAUAACCUACAUAUAAGACUGGGAUAACUUCGGGAAACCGGAGCUAAUACAGGAUAAGAUAGUGAACCGCAUGGUUCAAUAGUGAAAGACGGUUUUGCUGUCUCGUAUAGAUGGAUCCGCGCCGCAUUAGCUAGUUGGUAAGGUAACGGCUUACCAAGGCUACGAUGCGUAGCCGACCUGAGAGAGUGAUCGGCCACACUGGAACUGAGACACGGUCCAGACUCCUACGGGAGGCAGCAGUAGGGAAUCUUCCGCAAUGGGCGAAAGCUUGACGGAGCAACGCCGCGUGAGUGAUGAAGGUCUUCGGAUCGUAAAACUCUGUUAUUAGGGAAGAACAAAUGUGUAAGUAACUAUGCACGUCUUGACGGUACCUAAUCAGAAAGCCACGGCUAACUACGUG
This 497-nucleotide ribosomal RNA is filed under the name uncultured bacterium. RNAcentral's name for it is "partial 16S ribosomal RNA". It matches the Rfam family "Bacterial small subunit ribosomal RNA", at positions 36 to 507 of the family's 1533-position model. The record is from RNAcentral.